Molecule: non-coding RNA, 205 nt
Submitted as: unclassified sequences
Source: Rfam
AUCCUUCGGGUCUGUGGUUGCAAGCCGAGGCCAGUCGCAGGCGAAACGGUCCACGUAAUCUGUCCAAAGCGGCAGGGAGCAUGGUGCGGUCUAGAAGUAAGUCCGUCCGGGAGCGAUCCCGAGAGAAGCGCGUGAGGGCGUGAGCAACGCAGAGCAACCUUCCAGGCGGCGUGUGUGGGGGCAAAGACCAGGUCAGCCGGAGGAA